CCCCUAGAUGUUCUGGGCCGCACGCGCGCUACACUGAACAGUUCAACAAGUCUUAACCUUGGCCGAUAGGUCUGGGUAAUCUUUGAACGCUGUUCGUGAUUGGGAUAGACCUUUGCAAUUAUGGGUCUUCAACGAGGAAUUCCUAGUAAACGCAAGUCAUCAGCUUGCAUUGAUUACGUCCCUGCCCUUUGUACACACAGCCCGUCGCACCUACCGAUUGAAUGGUCCGGUGAAAUCUCGGGACGGCGGCUUGGUCGCUUGCGUCCGACUGCUGAAACUUGAUUAAACCAUAUCAUUUAGAGGAAGGUGAAGUCGUAACA
This 320-nucleotide ribosomal RNA is filed under the name uncultured eukaryote. RNAcentral describes it as "partial 18S ribosomal RNA". It matches the Rfam family "Eukaryotic small subunit ribosomal RNA", at positions 1470 to 1796 of the family's 1831-position model. The record is from RNAcentral.